ACGGGUGAGUAAUGCCUAGGAAUCUGCCUGGUAGUGGGGGAUAACGUUCCGAAAGGAACGCUAAUACCGCAUACGUCCUACGGGAGAAAGCAGGGGACCUUCGGGCCUUGCGCUAUCAGAUGAGCCUAGGUCGGAUUAGCUAGUUGGUGAGGUAAUGGCUCACCAAGGCGACGAUCCGUAACUGGUCUGAGAGGAUGAUCAGUCACACUGGAACUGAGACACGGUCCAGACUCCUACGGGAGGCAGCAGUGGGGAAUAUUGGACAAUGGGCGAAAGCCUGAUCCAGCCAUGCCGCGUGUGUGAAGAAGGUCUUCGGAUUGUAAAGCACUUUAAGUUGGGAGGAAGGGCAGUAAGCUAAUACCUUGCUGUUUUGACGUUACCGACAGAAUAAGCACCGGCUAACUUCGUGCCAGCAGCCGCGGUAAUACGAAGGGUGCAAGCGUUAAUCGGAAUUACUGGGCGUAAAGCGCGCGUAGGUGGUUCGUUAAGUUGGAUGUGAAA
RNAcentral lists this ribosomal RNA (501 nucleotides) under Pseudomonas sp. WH015-1. RNAcentral describes it as "bacterial SSU rRNA". It matches the Rfam family "Bacterial small subunit ribosomal RNA", at positions 102 to 599 of the family's 1533-position model. The record is from RNAcentral. Lineage: Bacteria; Pseudomonadati; Pseudomonadota; Gammaproteobacteria; Pseudomonadales; Pseudomonadaceae.